CUUGAAUGAUGUUUGUCCAUAAGAAGAAAAGUCUAUGGAAAGAAGACAAGUAUAAGUCCAACAAGUCAUCCUUGACCUGGUCCCAGGGGUUGAGGUAUUCAGAAUCUCUCCUCAGACAAGGGUCCUUGGGACAAUCUUUAUCAUGGGUCAUCAUUAUGAAAUCGGAAAAGGACCUCCUCCUCAGUCCUGCCUUUGUUUUCCAGAGAAUUGUUCUAUUUAGUUCCAGCUUCCCAGAAUCAGGAGGUCUUGUUUGGCCUCUGAUUGGUGAUGAUCUUUAGCUAAACCCUGGAUUCACUUUAGCUAAACACCUUUAGCUAAACAUGGGAUUCACUAAGUUACAAAAACACUGUUCUUACAGAUUGUUCAGUUUUCAUGGGAUAUUCUACAUCUAAAACUGUGCCUUUUAUAGGCUGAAUACCUGCUUCCUUCAUGUUUUCUUAUUAGAAGGCUAAAUUGUAUGCUUAUUUUUCUAACUGGAACCAUUGCAUCAGGGACAAGGUGGAGUAGUAGUAGCCACUUUGGUGGAGCUUUUGACAUGACCAAAAUUGUUCAUGUGAGGAGUGCCUUAGAAUAAAAGCAAAUAAACUCUCAUGAGGAGACUGUUGUGUCUGUCUGAAAGAGACAUCAUUUUGUUUAAUGUGACAGACUUACCCUUUUUUUCUGUACAUUAAAGAUUAAUAAGUGCCGGCUUUUUAAAUGUAUGACUUAAAAUUGUCAAGGGCCCAACUCAUGUCAAAACUGGCUGGAUGAUAUUCUCAUUUGUGUGUGUAUAUGUCAAAUCUCUUUUUCUACAUCUAAACUUUCUUUCCUCUCUUUGCAGAAAUAACAUAAUUGGCCUUUUACAAUGAUAAUUUCAUAUGUAUCUGAAGCUUCCUUCCUGUCAUAAUAAUUUCAUAUUUGUCUGGAGCUGGCUCUCUCAUUUUUUCUUUCCCCUCCCUUAUGAAACUUUAAAGAUUAUCUGAUCAAAAAAUGAUUCACUUGUUUUUGUGCACUCUAAGAAAAUGUAAUCUAGGUAAUCAAUAUUGUCUAAAAAAUGAAAACAAUAAAGCAAAU
Molecule: long non-coding RNA, 1053 nt
Filed under: Homo sapiens (human)
Lineage: Eukaryota; Metazoa; Chordata; Mammalia; Primates; Hominidae
Description: long non-coding RNA NONHSAT224277
Source: RNAcentral